This 497-nucleotide ribosomal RNA is filed under the name uncultured bacterium. RNAcentral's name for it is "partial 16S ribosomal RNA". It matches the Rfam family "Bacterial small subunit ribosomal RNA", at positions 28 to 507 of the family's 1533-position model. The record is from RNAcentral.
GAUGAACGCUGGCGGCGUGCCUAAUACAUGCAAGUCGAGCGAACAGAUGAGGAGCUUGCUCCUCUGACGUUAGCGGCGGACGGGUGAGUAACACGUGGAUAACCUACCUAUAAGACUGGGAUAACUUCGGGAAACCGGAGCUAAUACCGGAUAAUAUAUUGAACCGCAUGGUUCAAUAGUGAAAGACGGUUUUGCUGUCACUUAUAGAUGGAUCCGCGCCGCAUUAGCUAGUUGGUAAGGUAACGGCUUACCAAGGCAACGAUGCGUAGCCGACCUGAGAGGGUGAUCCGCCACACUGGAACUGAGACACGGUCCAGACUCCUACGGGAAGCAGCAGUAGGGAAUCUUCCGCAAUGGGCGAAAGCCUGACGGGGCAACGCCGCGGGAAUGAUGAAGGUCUUCGGAUCGUAAAACUCUGUUAUUAGGGAAAAACAAAUGUGUAAGUAACUAUGCACGUCUUGACGGUACCUAAUCAGAAAGCCACGGCUAACUACGUG